AAAUUAGGCUUGGUUUUCCAAAAAACAACUAUAAUUUUUUUAUGGCUUUUUUAAAAAAAAAGAAACAGAAAAUAAAAUUUACUUAAUAAUAAAAAAUUAUUGAGAUUUAUAGUUAAAUUUAGCUAAUU
Molecule: ribosomal RNA, 128 nt
Filed under: Amblyomma cajennense (Cayenne tick)
Lineage: Eukaryota; Metazoa; Arthropoda; Arachnida; Ixodida; Ixodidae
Description: partial 12S ribosomal RNA
Source: RNAcentral